GCCAGCAGCACACCACCCUGCUUCCCACUGCUGGCUUGCUUCUGAAGCUAAGCAGGGUUGGUCCUGGAUGGGAGACCAGAUGCUGCUGGAA
Molecule: ribosomal RNA, 91 nt
Filed under: Hucho hucho (huchen)
Lineage: Eukaryota; Metazoa; Chordata; Actinopteri; Salmoniformes; Salmonidae
Source: RNAcentral